UCCGCCCGAACUACCCCCAAAACCGUCGAACCGCCACCUGCUGAAACCGAAGAUGCAUUUGGACGGGAAUAAUUUGUGAUAUCGAAUUCGUCGAUUUUGGACAGAUUUGCAUUUUGAGCCCGAACCCCGUCCAAAACCAGCCGUUGUCCACCCCUAAUCUAAACCAUACAAAUAAAGUUUCACCUCUUAUUUCUCACCUUCAUGCAACCCUAACAUCUCCCCACAAACACUUUCAGGGUACAAAAGUAAUCUCACAUAUCAUCCACGUUAGCUGUUCAACCAAACCACACUUCAUCCUAUAAAUACCAAACCACUGUAUUAUUUUCAAAUAAUCGCAGACUCACGAAAGAGAAAUUCCCGAGAAAGUGAGAGAAACUGCAAGAAAAAGAGAGAGAAAUAGAAAGAGAGUAACUGUGUCAGUGUCUCCAUAAUCAGAAACUUCAAAACCAAAAAGGACACUGCAAAAAUGGCGUAAACAGUUUCAAAACAAAUUAUCACCACCGCGCUUUUUUUCUCUUUCUCUCAAUUUCUUAAUGUCGUUUUCAUCCUAAGCUACCGUGCACGACAUGAAUCGGUUAGGGUUAAAAGUUGAAGUGUUUGAAGGCGACGCGCGUUUGGGCGAACUCGAUUAUUUUCCAGUAAUCGCUUUUCAGAAUUUUCGAUUCCCAAACAACGAGAUUCACAUCCAUCAUAGAACUUUCCGUAGUGAACGUUGUCCUCCUCUUUCGAUUCUUCAAUCUGUUUCCGCUUUCAAUGUUCGAUGUAAACUCGAUUCAUCGCUUUCUGUUGAACAACCGCUUUUGAUUAAUCUUCAUGCUUCGAUGUUCCAUGAAAUGAAGACGGCGGUGGCGGUGAUUGGAGACGAAGAGCUUCAUUUAGUGGCGAUGCCGAGCAAACGGAAGAAGUUUCCAUGUUUUUGGUGCUAUACAGUUCCGGCUAGACUUUAUGAUGCGUGUAUGGGGAUGUUGAAUUUGAGGUGUUUAUCGAUUGUGUUUGAUUUAGAUGAGACUUUGAUUGUUGCGAACACGAUGAAGUCAUUUGAGGAUAGGAUUGAUGCGUUGCGGAGUUGGCUUUCGAGGGAGACUGAUCCGUCGAGGGUGCAGGGGAUGUCUGGUGAGUUGAAGCGGUAUUUGGAGGAUAGAUUGUUGUUGAAGCAGUUUGCUGAGAGUGAUUGUGUUGUUGAUGGGAAUGGGAGGCAGUAUCAGGUUCAAAUGGAGGAAGUGCCGUCUUUGUCUGAACAGAAAGUUAUGAGGCCUGUUGUUAGGUUGCAAGAUAGGAAUAUUGUUCUUACUCGAAUCAAUCCCGAGAUCCGUGACACUAGUGUACUAGUGAGGUUACGGCCUGCUUGGGAGGAUUUAAGAUGCUAUUUAACUGCAAAAGGACGCAAGCGGUUUGAAGUGUAUGUUUGUACUAUGGCUGAAAGGGAUUAUGCUUUGGAAAUGUGGAGGCUUCUUGACCCAGGGGCACAUCUUAUAGGUUCAAAGCAAGUUUUUGAUCGGGUUAUUUGUGUUAAAUCAGGCUCCCGGAAAUCUUUACUAAAUGUUUUUCACGAUGGUAUGUGCCAUCCAAAAAUGGCAAUGGUGAUUGAUGACCGUUCAAAGGUUUGGGAGGACAAGGACCAGCCUAGGGUUCAUGUCGUUCCCGCCUUUACUCCUUACUAUGCUCCUCAAGCAGAGACAGCCAAUGCCGUCCCAGUCCUAUGUGUAGCAAGAAAUGUUGCAUGCAAUGUCAGAGGUUGUUUUUUCAAGGAGUUUGAUGAAAACUAUUUACAAAGAAUUGCUGAAAUCUUCUUUGAAGACGAGGUUGGAAGUUUACCUCACCCUCCGGAUGUGAGCAGCUAUUUGAUGUCUGAGGAGGUACCAAAUGGUAAUGGUAAUGCCCCCAUCAGUGAAGGAAUGGCCGGAGCAGAGGUUGAACGGAGGUUAAACCAACCUGAUGAUAAGCUUUCUGCUGAUUUAGUCAGUCGGCCCAUGGUAAAUAGUGUUGAGUUCAGACAUGAAACCUCUCAGCCAACUGCUGGCAUAACUCCAAAUGUUGCUGGUCCUGGAUCUUCAAGGCCCCUGAUUCCUUCUCAGAAACCUGGUCUGCUUGGACCUCCACUCAAACAUGACGGCAGUUUUAUUGAUCGUGAUAAUGACAUGAAAAAAGGACUAUUAACUACGAGGCAUGGUCCAGAUUUAAGAGGUCAAAGUUCAGCUGAACCCCCUCUGAUAUCAAGGCCGCCCAUUCCAUCAUACGGAGGCUGGUUGGUAGAUGAUGAUAUAAGCAACAAAACUCAGACAAAUAAUUGGCCUUUUGCAUCUGCUAAAGAAUCCAAUUUGCCAAAGUCUGAAAAGCAUCAGGCUCAACCAAAACCCUUUUCUCAUAGAAUGGAAGUUUCAGCCUCCACUGUUCCGCUCUCACAAGCAUCAAAACUUAAGGCUGAAGAGGCAACUUCUGUAUCUGAUUUUCAGAGGCGAAAUAUUCCAUCUAAGUCUCGGCUAACAGAGGAUGUGAUAUCUCCGAAUCAUACAUCUUCUAAUAGCAAAGAUUUUCAAAAUGAAGUUGGAAAAUUUGACCCAUCUCUAUCUAUUGGAGUGCUGCAAGAAAUUGGGAAGCGGUGUUCCUCUAAGGUUGAAUUUAAGCCAAUUGUAAGCACCAGCAAAGACUUGCAGUUUUCAGUGGAGGUACUAUUCACUGGUGAGAAAAUCGGCUUUGGUAUGGGCAGGACAAGGAAGGAUGCUCAACAACAAGCUGCCGAGAAUGCCCUUCGCAGCUUAGCAGAGAAGUAUCUAGGACAUAUGGAGCCUCAAAGUAAAGCCGUUAAUACAGAAUUUGACAAGCUUUCUAUUGAACAUGAAAAUGGUUUCUUGUGGGAUGUGGUCAAUCCGGAAUCUGUUGAACUGCAGACAGAAGAUGGAUUACAAAGAGAAAGUGCUUCUGAGGUGGGGAAUUUUUAUGCUUUUGGUAGUUGAUUUAUGACCUGUUUUGAUUAAGGAAAUAGGUGAUGCUUGGAUAAGGGGUAAUGUGGACUAGAUAUUCCAGAUCGUGUAUGGAAUUGUGUAGCAUCAUGUGAAGACUGAAUCACUGAAUGUGGAGUGAACUGGCUUCAUUUCUUCUGCCACUGUCUUAGACAGGCUUCUUAAUUCCUACUUGAAAGGCUUCAGAUGCUGAGACCCUGCCAUUGAAUCCCAAUCCCAUCAAUCAGCAAAUAGAAAAACGUGCCAGCUUCCCAAGAACGCAUCAUUCUGUUUCCAGCAAACGAUUGAAGGAAUGAAUCUGUUGCUAAAUGAACAAGAAUAACCCAUCACUGCAGCAACUGAAGAAUGUAUGAUUCAUGAGACGGCAGUUUGGAGGCGAAAUGUUUCUAUCUAUGCCCUUUGCUCAUGUAAAACCUCUAGCAUAGCGGUUUUGGAUAUGCUGAGGGGAGACCUCCCCUUCGAAUUUCUGUUAUCAUGGAGAAGGGCAUUUUUUUUUCAAUUUUGCCCAACCAUAGCCAAAUUAUCAAUGUUGUAUUAGCUUGAUACAGUUAUUGUCUUUUUCUUUGUAAUUACUUUUCUUCUUUGUAGUUUAUCCACUACCGAUCUGAUGUGGUGGCUGAAUUUUUCUUGCUUCUAGGACAAAACUCCAUAUUGUAGCUUCUGCAUUCAUAAGUCACCCACUGCGAAACCAAACAAACAUGUUAUUAGUCUGUUUCCUCUGGGUUAGUUGUUCAUUAGGAAUAUACACAACCUAAGGAAAAUUUCCGAUGGAGGCAAAAUGUUUUUAUAGAUGUCCUUUGCUCAUGUAAAACCUCUAGCAUAGUGGUUUUAGAUGUGUCCCCGAUAAUUUCUGUUAUAUCAGAAGACAUCUUUUUUUGCCUGAUCAUUGUCUGUCUCGCUAAAUUUCAAUGUUGUAUUAGUUCGAUUUA
Molecule: RNA transcript, 3889 nt
Organism: Medicago truncatula (barrel medic)
Lineage: Eukaryota; Viridiplantae; Streptophyta; Magnoliopsida; Fabales; Fabaceae
Gene name: RNA polymerase II C-terminal domain phosphatase-like 2
Exons: 16
Source: RefSeq, a predicted model, not a curated record